CAGUCGCCGCGGGAAUACGUAGGGUGCAAGCGUUAAUCGGAAUUACUGGGCGUAAAGCGUGCGCAGGCGGUUAUAUAAGACAGAUGUGAAAUCCCCGGGCUCAACCUGUGAACUGCAUUUGUGACUGUAUAGCUAGAGUACGGCAGAGGGGGAUGGAAUUCCGCGUGUAGCAGUGAAAUGCGUAGAUAUGCGGAGGAACACCGAUGGCGAAGGCAAUCCCCUGGGCCUGUACUGACGCUCAUGCACGAAAGCGUGGGGAGCAAACAGGAUUAGAUACCCCGGUAGUCCCUGUCUCUUAUAC
RNAcentral lists this ribosomal RNA (301 nucleotides) under uncultured bacterium. RNAcentral describes it as "partial 16S ribosomal RNA". It matches the Rfam family "Bacterial small subunit ribosomal RNA", at positions 509 to 807 of the family's 1533-position model. The record is from RNAcentral.